GACGAACGCUGGCGGCGUGCCUAAUACAUGCAAGUAGAACGCUGAAGGAGGAGCUUGCUUCUCUGGAUGAGUUGCGAACGGGUGAGUAACGCGUAGGUAACCUGCCUGGUAGCGGGGGAUAACUAUUGGAAACGAUAGCUAAUACCGCAUAAUAGUAGAUGUUGCAUGACAUUUGCUUAAAAGGUGCAAUUGCAUCACUACCAGAUGGACCUGCGUUGUAUUAGCUAGUUGGUGGGGUAACGGCUCACCAAGGCGACGAUACAUAGCCGACCUGAGAGGGUGAUCGGCCACACUGGGACUGAGACACGGCCCAGACUCCUACGGGAGGAAGCAGUAGGGAAUCUUCGGCAAUGGACGGAAGCCUGACCGAGCAACGCCGCGUGAGUGAAGAAGGUUUUCGGAUCGUAAAGCUCUGUUGUAAGAGAAGAACGAGUGUGAGAGUGGAAAGUUCACACUGUGACGGUAUCUUACCAGAAAGGGACGGCUAACUACGUG
This 495-nucleotide ribosomal RNA is filed under the name uncultured bacterium. RNAcentral's name for it is "partial 16S ribosomal RNA". It matches the Rfam family "Bacterial small subunit ribosomal RNA", at positions 28 to 507 of the family's 1533-position model. The record is from RNAcentral.